AAGUCGUAACAAGGUUUCCGUAGGUGAACCUGCGGAAGGAUCAUUAACACGUAUCCAAACGUUAAACAACCCCGUGAACAUACAACCUGCUCUGGUCGCCCGCUCGCAUGGACAAGCCCAGUAAAUCAAGCCCCGGAAAGUUUUUGAUUUGGGACCUCUGUGCGCGUGAGAAAAACUGACAGCGAUUCAUAGAAGCGGUAGGUCAAGUGACACGGCGUCCCCAAGUGACCAGUGAAUGAAAGUGUCGCUGGAGCGUCAAGGACGACUCUUCAAGAUUGCUAGAGGUCGACCACCGACCGGCUUCCGUGUAUACCGAGCUAACACCGCUCCCUUCCGAACCCCAUCCAUACGGAUGGGCAGGCCCCCCGAACAACUGUUAACAAUGGAUAUCUUGGUUCUC
RNAcentral lists this unclassified non-coding RNA (400 nucleotides) under fungal sp. RNAcentral describes it as "partial internal transcribed spacer region". The stretch from base 1 to 46 matches the Rfam family "Eukaryotic small subunit ribosomal RNA", at positions 1786 to 1831 of the family's 1831-position model. Lineage: Eukaryota; Fungi. The record is from RNAcentral.